RNAcentral lists this ribosomal RNA (253 nucleotides) under uncultured bacterium. Its description in RNAcentral is "partial 16S ribosomal RNA". It matches the Rfam family "Bacterial small subunit ribosomal RNA", at positions 524 to 776 of the family's 1533-position model. The record is from RNAcentral.
UACGAAGGGGGCUAGCGUUGUUCGGAAUUACUGGGCGUAAAGCGCACGUAGGCGGAUUGUUUAGUGAGGGGUGAAAUCCCAGGGCUCAACCCUGGAACUGCCUUUCAUACUGGCAAUCUCGAGUCCGGAAGAGGUGAGUGGAAUUCCGAGUGUAGAGGUGAAAUUCGUAGAUAUUCGGAGGAACACCAGUGGCGAAGGCGGCUCACUGGUCCGGUACUGACGCUGAGGUGCGAAAGCGUGGGGAGCAAACAGG